UUUUAUUAUGGCUCAGGAUGAACGCCGGCGGUGUGCCUAAUACAUGCAAGUCGAACGCGUUGGCCCAACUGAUUGAACGUGCUUGCACGGACUUGACGUUGGUUUACCAGCGAGUGGCGGACGGGUGAGUAACACGUAGGUAACCUGCCCCAAAGCGGGGGAUAACAUUUGGAAACAGAUGCUAAUACCGCAUAACAAUUUGAAUCGCAUGAUUCAAAUUUAAAAGAUGGCUUCGGCUAUCACUUUGGGAUGGACCUGCGGCGCAUUAGCUUGUUGGUAGGGUAACGGCCUACCAAGGCUGUGAUGCGUAGCCGAGUUGAGAGACUGAUCGGCCACAAUGGAACUGAGACACGGUCCAUACUCCUACGGGAGGCAGCAGUAGGGAAUCUUCCACAAUGGGCGCAAGCCUGAUGGAGCAACACCGCGUGAGUGAAGAAGGGUUUCGGCUCGUAAAGCUCUGUUGUUAGAGAAGAACGUGCGUGAGAGCAACUGUUCACGCAGUGACGGUAUCUAACCAGAAAGUCACGGCUAACUACGUGCCAGCAGCCGCGGUAAUACGUAGGUGGCAAGCGUUAUCCGGAUUUAUUGGGCGUAAAGCGAGCGCAGGCGGUUUGAUAAGUCUGAUGUGAAAGCCUUUGGCUUAACCAAAGAAGUGCAUCGGAAACUGUCAGACUU
Molecule: ribosomal RNA, 675 nt
Filed under: Limosilactobacillus mucosae
Lineage: Bacteria; Bacillati; Bacillota; Bacilli; Lactobacillales; Lactobacillaceae
Description: bacterial SSU rRNA
Rfam family: Bacterial small subunit ribosomal RNA
Source: RNAcentral